Paramuricea clavata is the source of this 365-nucleotide non-coding RNA. The record is from the annotation of a GenBank genome assembly. NCBI's taxonomy places the organism in Eukaryota, Metazoa, Cnidaria, Anthozoa, Malacalcyonacea, Plexauridae.
CUAAAAGGGAAAUAUUGAAAAACUACAAACAUAAUUACCGAUAAUUUGCCGUUUUGCAGUUGUUUUUGUAUUUUUUAAAGAUUUUUCUUUUCGCUGAAGUCUUGAAAUUUCCACACCGAAUAGCAAUUUUCAACAGCUUCAAUUUGAUAUAUAGGCCGACGUUUGGGGUCAAGUAUUUCUGCUCAUAACUCAGAAAAACUAUUUUGGCUUCAUCAAAUCAUAGGCCUUCAUCAUAGCAGUUAGCCUUCCAGUUUAUUUAUAGUUCAAUGAGUCCACCCUGUUACACGUUCACUGAGCUGUAUAAUAACUGGAGGACCUGCUCCUAUACUUCGUUCGGUCAACCAAGCGAAGCCAAAAACAUGGCG